Molecule: ribosomal RNA, 253 nt
Filed under: uncultured bacterium
Lineage: Bacteria
Description: partial 16S ribosomal RNA
Rfam family: Bacterial small subunit ribosomal RNA
Source: RNAcentral
UACAGAGGUCCCAAGCGUUGUUCGGAUUCACUGGGCGUAAAGGGUGCGUAGGUGGUGAGGUAAGUCGGAUGUGAAAGCUCCGAGCUCAACUCGGAAAUGGCAUUGGAAACUACCUUGCUCGAGGGUUUGAGGGGGGACUGGAAUACUUGGUGUAGCAGUGAAAUGCGUAGAUAUCAAGUAGAACACCAGUGGCGAAGGCGGCUCACUGGCCCGAUACUGACGCUGAGGCACGAAAGCGUGGGGAGCAAACAGG